GUGAACCUGCGGAAGAUCAUUA
RNAcentral lists this ribosomal RNA (22 nucleotides) under Kluyveromyces marxianus. RNAcentral's name for it is "partial 18S ribosomal RNA". Lineage: Eukaryota; Fungi; Ascomycota; Saccharomycetes; Saccharomycetales; Saccharomycetaceae. The record is from RNAcentral.